UUGUAUGAUUUCGGUGCUUCGUUGAGAA
This 28-nucleotide small RNA is filed under the name Bombyx mori (domestic silkworm). Its description in RNAcentral is "ovarian small RNA-38089". The record is from RNAcentral. Lineage: Eukaryota; Metazoa; Arthropoda; Insecta; Lepidoptera; Bombycidae.